Molecule: ribosomal RNA, 775 nt
Filed under: uncultured Neocallimastigales
Lineage: Eukaryota; Fungi; Neocallimastigomycota; Neocallimastigomycetes; Neocallimastigales
Description: partial large subunit ribosomal RNA
Rfam family: Eukaryotic large subunit ribosomal RNA
Source: RNAcentral
CGCAUCUGUGCAUGCAGCAUAUCAAUAAGCGGAGGAAAAGAAACUAACAAGGAUUCCCCUAGUAACGGCGAGUGAAGCGGGAAGAGCUCAAAUUUGAAAUCUUAAAGGGUUUCCCUUUACGAAUUGUAGUUUAAAGAAGUGUUUUCUGUUGAGGUUUUGGUAAAAGUUCUUUGGAAUAGGACAUCAUAGAGGGUGAGAAUCCCGUAUUUGACCUUUACUUUCAACUUUGUGAUACACUUUCAAAGAGUCGGAUUGUUUGGGAAUGCAGUCCAAAAUGGGUGGUAAAUUUCAUCUAAAGCUAAAUAUUGGCGAGAGACCGAUAGCGAACAAGUACCGUGAGGGAAAGAUGAAAAGAACUUUGAAAAGAGAGUUAAACAGUACGUGAAAUUGUCAAAAGGGAAGCGUUUGACACCAGUGUUGUUUUUCUGAAAAUCAAUUAAAGAACUGUUUAUGCUAAGUUGUUUAGACUUUAUCAGCUAACUGUUUAGUUUCGAGCUUUUCUUUAAGUGCACUUUUCAGUUAACAAGUCAACAUCAAUUUCUUUUGCUGUAAAAAAGCUUGAGGAAGGUGGCUUGAGAUUCGUCUUAAGUGUUUAUAGCCUCUUGCCUAUGCAGUCGGAGAGAUUGAGGUCUGCAGCGUAGAUCCUUCGGGGCUAAAUGCAUUUGUGCUAAGUUAUAGCAUUUUAUAGACAACUUGUUGACUAUGAUUUGUCUUGUAGCUUACUCGCUUAUGUUAUUUUACCUACGCUUAGGAUGUUGAGUCAUCACACAUCUCU